This is a long non-coding RNA of Gallus gallus (chicken), 1201 nucleotides long. Lineage: Eukaryota; Metazoa; Chordata; Aves; Galliformes; Phasianidae. The record is from Ensembl.
GAACACUUUGCCAUAGCAAGCAAAUGUUUCUAUAUUUUGAGGCAGAAGAAAUCCAUGAGUGAUUGGCGUCAGCUUUCAGUCACAAUUUCAAUCAGUGUUAAUAGUGUUAAAUGUGCAACUGUGGACUGCACACCAAGUGAUGUUACUGAAUCUGAGAUUUCAGUAGUCUAUUUAAUCAAUGUUGUUGGUUAGCAUUAAAACAGAGAAAAUAGAGCAGGGAAAACUGAAAACCAACAACAAUCUUCUGAGAUAGCCUUUUGUCAGUGAUCACUUUGGCAAAUACCAGCGGUGAGCGGAGGGUUAUUUUAUCCUAAUGAAAAUUACCCGUCAGUUGUGUAUAAAACUGCUACCUGUAGUUCUUGUCCUAUUUUAAACAAAACUCCUAUACUUGAUUUACAUCACGUAAAAUAACAGGAAUAAGAUUGUGUCAUGCAUCUCUAUCUUGGUCUUCUCCAUUACUCUGUAAUGAAACUAAUUGGUUACUAAAGCAAAAAACAAGAAGGGUAGAUAACUUUUUGCAAACAAACAUGCAGGAUUCUGGCAGUCAAAUUAUCCAAUGCUCUCUCAUUAGUAUCUUUAAACUGGAUGUUUGCAUUCUGCUCAAGAGCAAGAUGGUUCCAUAGUGGCAAUUUUAGCACUAACAGAACUGACCUGUGGGUAAUUCUCAGUAGAGAGCCCAAGUGGCACAGCUGUUCCUCUGGGGCUGUGUCUGAUGCAGUGCUCCCAGGCCUGACCUUUCAUCCUCCCUCCAAGAACAUCAACUUUCCUCACAAAAGGAGUCGCACUGUGGCCCCUGGAGGAGACAGUGUGGCGUUGGAGCUGAGGAGCUCAGUACUCGUUCCUGAGCUAUGUGGCAUUCUGCUCCUUCUUGGCCACUGUCAGUUGGUUGUGCUCCUUAUCCUCAGAACAGUUUUACAAAAUUUCUAUUGGAGUAACAGAUGGAGCAGUGAAGAAUGCAAUGUGUAAGACAUGACACGUAAUGAAGGGCAAGGACCAUAUGAUGAUGAUGCUUUUGCCAAAAAUGCAAAUGAAUCCACACCUGUGAUUGGCACUUCAAUUCCAGAAAAGACUCAUCAGCUUCCUUUUCUGUAAUAAAAAUACAUAGUGGAUAAGAGAAGAGCAUCUCAAGCCAACAACAGGAAAUAUCCCAGCCUGUCCGUGGGAUCGUUCAUGGGACUACUGUAAGAUAUUUUUAAGUGAG